CUCUAUGGUGGGCUGGAUGGGGCAAUCGAAAGAUUGGCCGGGCGGUUUCUCCGGUAGUGCAAACCCUGUUCAGUUCACCACCAAU
This 85-nucleotide non-coding RNA is filed under the name Rhodnius prolixus. The record is from RNAcentral. Lineage: Eukaryota; Metazoa; Arthropoda; Insecta; Hemiptera; Reduviidae.